AUUCGCCCUUAGAGUUUGAUCCUGGCUCAGGAUGAACGCUAGCUACAGGCUUAACACAUGCAAGUCGAGGGGAAACGACAUCGAAAGCUUGCUUUUGAUGGGCGUCGACCGGCGCACGGGUGAGUAACGCGUAUCCAACCUGCCCAUCACUUGGGGAUAACCUUGCGAAAGUAAGACUAAUACCCAAUGACGUCUCUAGAAGACAUCUGAAAGAGAUUAAAGAUUUAUCGGUGAUGGAUGGGGAUGCGUCUGAUUAGCUUGUUGGCGGGGUAACGGCCCACCAAGGCGACGAUCAGUAGGGGUUCUGAGAGGAAGGUCCCCCACAUUGGAACUGAGACACGGUCCAAACUCCUACGGGAGGCAGCAGUGAGGAAUAUUGGUCAAUGGGCGAGAGCCUGAACCAGCCAAGUAGCGUGCAGGAUGACGGCCCUAUGGGUUGUAAACUGCUUUUAUAAGGGAAUAAAGUGAGUCUCGUGAGGCUUUUUGCAUGUACCUUAUGAAUAAGGACCGGCUAAUUCCGUGCCAGCAGCCGCGGUAAUACGGAAGGUCCGGGCGUUAUCCGGAUUUAUUGGGUUUAAAGGGAGCGUAGGCCGGAGAUUAAGCGUGUUGUGAAAUGUAGACGCUCAACGUCUGCACUGCAGCGCGAACUGGUUUCCUUGAGUACGCACAAAGUGGGCGGAAUUCGUGGUGUAGCGGUGAAAUGCUUAGAUAUCACGAAGAACUCCGAUUGCGAAGGCAGCUCACUGGAGCGCAACUGACGCUGAAGCUCGAAAGUGCGGGUAUCGAACAGGAUUAGAUACCCUGGUAGUCCGCACGGUAAACGAUGGAUGCCCGCUGUUGGUCUGAAUAGGUCAGCGGCCAAGCGAAAGCAUUAAGCAUCCCACCUGGGGAGUACGCCGGCA
RNAcentral lists this ribosomal RNA (902 nucleotides) under uncultured bacterium. RNAcentral describes it as "bacterial SSU rRNA". It matches the Rfam family "Bacterial small subunit ribosomal RNA", at positions 1 to 890 of the family's 1533-position model. The record is from RNAcentral.